RNAcentral lists this transfer RNA (62 nucleotides) under Atractolytocestus huronensis. Its description in RNAcentral is "tRNA-Ser". Lineage: Eukaryota; Metazoa; Platyhelminthes; Cestoda; Caryophyllidea; Lytocestidae. The record is from RNAcentral.
ACCACUGAUACUUGUGUGACCUAAUUUGAAAUUAGGUAAUUUGGUUUAUUCCAACAUUGGUU